GCGAGUAUCGUAUAGUGGUAAUAUGCCAGCUUCCCAAGCUGGAGAUACGGGUUCGAUUCCCGUUACUCGCUCCA
RNAcentral lists this transfer RNA (74 nucleotides) under Patescibacteria group bacterium. RNAcentral describes it as "tRNA-Gly". It matches the Rfam family "tRNA". From Rfam's summary of the family: Transfer RNA (tRNA) molecules are approximately 80 nucleotides in length. Their secondary structure includes four short double-helical elements and three loops (D, anti-codon, and T loops). The record is from RNAcentral.